Molecule: ribosomal RNA, 254 nt
Filed under: uncultured bacterium
Lineage: Bacteria
Description: partial 16S ribosomal RNA
Rfam family: Bacterial small subunit ribosomal RNA
Source: RNAcentral
GACAGAGGGGGCAAGCGUUGUCCGGAUUGACUGGGCGUACAGCGCGCGCAGGCGGCUGUGGACGUGCCCUGUGACAGGCGGAGGCUCAACCUCCGACGGCCAGGGUAGACGCCACGACUAGAGGCAGGGAGAGGGCAGUGGAAUACCCGGUGGAGCGGUGAAAUGCGUAGAGAUCGGGUGGAACACCAGGGGCGAAGGCGGCGAUCUGGGUCGAUACUGACGCUGAGGUGCGAAAGCGUGGGGGAGCAAACAGG